This 492-nucleotide ribosomal RNA is filed under the name uncultured bacterium. RNAcentral describes it as "partial 16S ribosomal RNA". It matches the Rfam family "Bacterial small subunit ribosomal RNA", at positions 29 to 507 of the family's 1533-position model. The record is from RNAcentral.
AGUGAACGCUGGCGGUAGGCCUAACACAUGCAAGUCGAACGGCAGCACAGUAAGAGCUUGCUCUUACGGGUGGCGAGUGGCGGACGGGUGAGGCAUACAUCGGAAUCUACUUUUUCGUGGGGGAUAACGUAGGGAAACUUACGCUAAUACCGCAUACGACCUACGGGUGAAAGCAGGGGAUCUUCGGACCUUGCGCGAUUGAAUGAGCCGAUGUCGGAUUAGCUAGUUGGCGGGGUAAAGGCCCACCAAGGCGACGAUCCGUAGCUGGUCUGAGAGGAUGAUCAGCCACACUGGAACUGAGACACGGUCCAGACUCCUACGGGAGGCAGCAGUGGGGAAUAUUGGACAAUGGGCGCAAGCCUGGUCCAGCAAUACCGCGUGGGUGAAGAAGGCCUUCGGGUUGUAAAGCCCUUUUGUUGGGAAAGAAAAGCAGCAGGUUAAUACCCCGCUGUUCUGACGGUACCCAAAGAAUAAGCACCGGCUAACUUCGUG